GAAGUGGAUAGUGGAAAUGUAUAUUUUUUUUUUUGAAAAUUACUCGAAGUUCGAUCGAUUAUUUGUUUUUGUUCUUUUCUAAAAAAUGUUGAUUUUAAUCUUGGUAUUAACAAUCAACUGAUACAGUAAAGUAAAUGAAAGUAGUAAAUUUAUUACAUAUUUUGAGAAUGGGGGUAAAGUUUAUCAAAUGGGAAUACAACAUAAUAAUUAAAUCAUACAAGCUUUGAAAGACAAUUGUAAAAUAAAGAAUCUCGUUGUAAGAAGGCCC
Molecule: long non-coding RNA, 268 nt
Filed under: Lathyrus oleraceus (garden pea)
Lineage: Eukaryota; Viridiplantae; Streptophyta; Magnoliopsida; Fabales; Fabaceae
Description: Pisum sativum (pea) long non-coding RNA (PSAT_LNC010686)
Source: RNAcentral